AUAAAAUGCUCAGUGAAGAAAAGUAAAGGAACUUACCAGUAUUUGAUCGAGAUAGUGCUAAAAGAAAACAAAAACAAAGGAAGAGUGAGUUCCACAAGUCUCCAGGAGAACUUGGAUUCCAGAGGCAUUGCAUUGCAGCAAAGGUGUGAGAAAGAGGGAAGAAGCGAAUCAUACCUCCUUCUUUCUGUUAUCAGCUGCAAGGUACAUACCUGAUGAGUUGCUUUCCAUCUACUACUUAAAGGUAACCUUUGCAGUACUAUUUGUGAUGCCAGAAAUUGGAAACAUUGAGAAUGCAUCAGUAGUGGAAAUGAUAGGGAAAAAUGCUGUAUAUUUGUAAGCUGGAAUAUUAGUCAACAGUGAAAGUGUAUAACUUGGAUGUCUAUCUAUUGUAAAAUUAUAUUUUUUGAGAAAAACUCGUCAUAAAGACACCUUCAGGAUGGUAUUCAGUAAAAUUCUAAUAGUACAAAAUACUAUAUUUUAUUCAGUGAUAGAGAUUAUAGAAGUAUGCAAAAAAGACUUUAAAGAUUUAUAAUGCAUUUAAAAGUGUUUCCGAGGAGGGGAGCGUAGUCAGUCUAAGGAUGGGGACAAAUGGGAUUUCAGCAUUAUCUAUAGCUGGAGAAAUAUGACAAAAUGGGAUUUCAGCAUUAUCUAUAGCUGAAGAAAUAUGACAAAUACCAGUUUGGUACAUCAAGGGUGUGGAUACACAACUUUUACUUUUUGGACUUACUUUAAAAAAAUAUAGAAACAAGGCUUCCAAACUUGAUGACACUAGAAUUGAAAAUCAGCCACAAAGGACUUACCUCCGGAGCUGGCUGAUGGUGCUGAAACACAUACAAAAAAAAACAUGAGUUGCAGCGUUAGAAUUUGGGUCCCUAGCUUUUGCGCAUCAGCUUCAGGCUUGUCACUUGUUUCUCAGGAAUUCAGCGAGGCCUUACUGACCAGGUGAUGACUACUCGGAGACCACUUGAACCAGAAUACUUCUGCAGUCCCAAUUUGACCAGUACAUUUAUAUUUCUUUGUCUGGAGAUGAUACAGGGGAGACUAAGAGAGCUGGGGAACUUACUGGGCUACCUAGAGGUGACUGAUCUCUUCAGGGCUGUGACCCCUCCUCAUGCGUGCACUCCUCACUUCAUCAGACGCAGUCAGUCCAAGCUGGGCAACCCAUGCGUUUCACUUGAGUUCUGACACCCACCUAAUGCUUUAAUUCUCAAAUACUUGGGAUUAGAAAGGGAAAAUUGGAGGAAAAAG
RNAcentral lists this long non-coding RNA (1248 nucleotides) under Chinchilla lanigera (long-tailed chinchilla). RNAcentral describes it as "lncRNA (ENSCLAG00000028713.1)". Lineage: Eukaryota; Metazoa; Chordata; Mammalia; Rodentia; Chinchillidae. The record is from RNAcentral.